RNAcentral lists this ribosomal RNA (2902 nucleotides) under Klebsiella pneumoniae. Its description in RNAcentral is "23S ribosomal RNA". It matches the Rfam family "Bacterial large subunit ribosomal RNA". Lineage: Bacteria; Pseudomonadati; Pseudomonadota; Gammaproteobacteria; Enterobacterales; Enterobacteriaceae. The record is from RNAcentral.
GGUUAAGCGACUAAGCGUACACGGUGGAUGCCCUGGCAGUCAGAGGCGAUGAAGGACGUGCUAAUCUGCGAAAAGCGUCGGUAAGGUGAUAUGAACCGUUACAGCCGGCGAUGUCCGAAUGGGGAAACCCAGUGUGAUUCGUCACACUAUCGUUAACUGAAUACAUAGGUUAACGAGGCGAACCGGGGGAACUGAAACAUCUAAGUACCCCGAGGAAAAGAAAUCAACCGAGAUUCCCCCAGUAGCGGCGAGCGAACGGGGAGCAGCCCAGAGUCUGAAUCAGCUUGUGUGUUAGUGGAACGGUCUGGAAAGUCCGACGGUACAGGGUGAUAGUCCCGUACACCAAAAUGCACAGGUUGUGAACUCGAAGAGUAGGGCGGGACACGUGGUAUCCUGUCUGAAUAUGGGGGGACCAUCCUCCAAGGCUAAAUACUCCUGACUGACCGAUAGUGAACCAGUACCGUGAGGGAAAGGCGAAAAGAACCCCGGCGAGGGGAGUGAAAAAGAACCUGAAACCGUGUACGUACAAGCAGUGGGAGCACCUUCGGGUGUGACUGCGUACCUUUUGUAUAAUGGGUCAGCGACUUAUAUUCUGUAGCAAGGUUAACCGUAUAGGGGAGCCGCAGGGAAACCGAGUCUUAACUGGGCGUUAAGUUGCAGGGUAUAGACCCGAAACCCGGUGAUCUAGCCAUGGGCAGGUUGAAGGUUGGGUAACACUAACUGGAGGACCGAACCGACUAAUGUUGAAAAAUUAGCGGAUGACUUGUGGCUGGGGGUGAAAGGCCAAUCAAACCGGGAGAUAGCUGGUUCUCCCCGAAAGCUAUUUAGGUAGCGCCUCGUGAACUCAUCUUCGGGGGUAGAGCACUGUUUCGGCUAGGGGGUCAUCCCGACUUACCAACCCGAUGCAAACUACGAAUACCGAAGAAUGUUAUCACGGGAGACACACGGCGGGUGCUAACGUCCGUCGUGAAGAGGGAAACAACCCAGACCGCCAGCUAAGGUCCCAAAGUCAUGGUUAAGUGGGAAACGAUGUGGGAAGGCACAGACAGCCAGGAUGUUGGCUUAGAAGCAGCCAUCAUUUAAAGAAAGCGUAAUAGCUCACUGGUCGAGUCGGCCUGCGCGGAAGAUGUAACGGGGCUAAACCAUGCACCGAAGCUGCGGCAGCGACACUAUGUGUUGUUGGGUAGGGGAGCGUUCUGUAAGCCUGCGAAGGUGACCUGUGAGGGUUGCUGGAGGUAUCAGAAGUGCGAAUGCUGACAUAAGUAACGAUAAAGCGGGUGAAAAGCCCGCUCGCCGGAAGACCAAGGGUUCCUGUCCAACGUUAAUCGGGGCAGGGUGAGUCGACCCCUAAGGCGAGGCCGAAAGGCGUAGUCGAUGGGAAACAGGUUAAUAUUCCUGUACUUGGUGUUACUGCGAAGGGGGGACGGAGAAGGCUAUGUUAGCCGGGCGACGGUUGUCCCGGUUUAAGCAUGUAGGCUGAUUAUCCAGGCAAAUCCGGAUAAUCAAGGCUGAGGUGUGAUGACGAGGCACUACGGUGCUGAAGUAACAAAUGCCCUGCUUCCAGGAAAAGCCUCUAAGCAUCAGGUAACAUCAAAUCGUACCCCAAACCGACACAGGUGGUCAGGUAGAGAAUACCAAGGCGCUUGAGAGAACUCGGGUGAAGGAACUAGGCAAAAUGGUGCCGUAACUUCGGGAGAAGGCACGCUGGUGUGUAGGUGAAGUCCCUGCGGAUGGAGCUGAGACCAGUCGAAGAUACCAGCUGGCUGCAACUGUUUAUUAAAAACACAGCACUGUGCAAACACGAAAGUGGACGUAUACGGUGUGACGCCUGCCCGGUGCCGGAAGGUUAAUUGAUGGGGUUAUCCGUAAGGAGAAGCUCUUGAUCGAAGCCCCGGUAAACGGCGGCCGUAACUAUAACGGUCCUAAGGUAGCGAAAUUCCUUGUCGGGUAAGUUCCGACCUGCACGAAUGGCGUAAUGAUGGCCAGGCUGUCUCCACCCGAGACUCAGUGAAAUUGAACUCGCUGUGAAGAUGCAGUGUACCCGCGGCAAGACGGAAAGACCCCGUGAACCUUUACUAUAGCUUGACACUGAACAUUGAGCCUUGAUGUGUAGGAUAGGUGGGAGGCUUUGAAGCGUGGACGCCAGUCUGCGUGGAGCCAACCUUGAAAUACCACCCUUUAAUGUUUGAUGUUCUAACGUUGGCCCCUUACCGGGGUUGCGGACAGUGUCUGGUGGGUAGUUUGACUGGGGCGGUCUCCUCCCAAAGCGUAACGGAGGAGCACGAAGGUUAGCUAAUCCUGGUCGGACAUCAGGAGGUUAGUGCAAUGGCAUAAGCUAGCUUGACUGCGAGCGUGACGGCGCGAGCAGGUGCGAAAGCAGGUCAUAGUGAUCCGGUGGUUCUGAAUGGAAGGGCCAUCGCUCAACGGAUAAAAGGUACUCCGGGGAUAACAGGCUGAUACCGCCCAAGAGUUCAUAUCGACGGCGGUGUUUGGCACCUCGAUGUCGGCUCAUCACAUCCUGGGGCUGAAGUAGGUCCCAAGGGUAUGGCUGUUCGCCAUUUAAAGUGGUACGCGAGCUGGGUUUAGAACGUCGUGAGACAGUUCGGUCCCUAUCUGCCGUGGGCGCUGGAGAAUUGAGGGGGGCUGCUCCUAGUACGAGAGGACCGGAGUGGACGCAUCACUGGUGUUCGGGUUGUCAUGCCAAUGGCACUGCCCGGUAGCUAAAUGCGGAAGAGAUAAGUGCUGAAAGCAUCUAAGCACGAAACUUGCCCCGAGAUGAGUUCUCCCUGAGACUAUAAGUCUCCUGAAGGAACGUUGAAGACGAUGACGUUGAUAGGCCGGGUGUGUAAGCGCAGCGAUGCGUUGAGCUAACCGGUACUAAUGAACCGUGAGGCUUAACCUU